Long non-coding RNA from Mustela erminea (ermine), 4097 nucleotides. RefSeq lists it as uncharacterized. The record is from RefSeq and is a predicted model, not a curated record. NCBI's taxonomy places the organism in Eukaryota, Metazoa, Chordata, Mammalia, Carnivora, Mustelidae. The transcript is spliced from 4 exons.
CCGACUGCUGGCGCGUGACGCCGGGACGCCCGGCGCUUUCCCGCCGGCAGUGGCGGCUGGCCCGGGAGACAGCGGGGCAGUGAGGCUGGGCCCCGGCGAGAGCUCUGGGGAGCGCGGGGCCGCGGAGUCGGGAGGCUGGCACAGAAAGGGCCCGCGCACACGCGCGCCCCUGCCCGACGCGGCGUUCCCCGGUGCGUUUUUGUGCGAUUCUGCCCAAGCAGGCCCUGCACCCGGCCCGGGCGGGAGGGCGGGCACGGACCCACUUGCUCUCCGCUGCCUGGAACAAAGGGCGCAGGGUUUAACCUCAGCCCGCUGAGCGUGCAUUUGCUGGCGCCCGUGCAGCCUCUGCCUGUGCAGCCCUGCCUGCUCUAACUUCGAGAGUGAAGCCCUGAGAAGGACGUGCAGGCAGUGGGUACUCGAAGGAACCCCCGUGAAGCCCUCUGUCGCGGGAUUCGCUAACCCUUGCUGCAGAUUCCCCCAAACGUUUCCUUUUUGGUGGAAGCACUUUGCCCCGGUUCACGUGCCUCCAGUACCAACUGUGUGCUGGCUGGCGACUCUGCUAGGUUCUGGGGAUAUGGAAGUAAAAGGCAAUCUUUCUGCCGGCAGACCGCUCAGUUUAGUGGGGAGGAAAGAUAAAUGAGCAGAUAAGACCUAACGCAUGAUAAAUGUUAAGGACGGAGACCCAGGGGAACAAAGAAGAAAGAUACCCAUCCGACUAGACGUCCAGGAAGGCUUCUCAGAGGAAGUGGCACCCAGGGUAAAUCUGGAAGCAGCAGCAGCUGUUGGAGAAGAAGCUGUGGAGUGAUUGAGCCUGAUGAGUACUUUGCCAUCCCGUUCCCCUGAGGAGGACCCGUGGAACUUAGGGGCUGGGGUGGACUCAGAGGGAGUGACUGAGACUAGGUCCUGAAGAUUCUCUGUAGGCUUACAAGGAGUUUGGAUUUUGUCCCUGAGGCAGUGGGGAGGCAGACAGGUUUUAAGGGGAGGGUGGUGUCAUGCCAUGUGCUCUUUCAGAACGAAGGUGUAGCAGCAAGAGUGAGGUCAGGGAAAGCAUGACUCUAAGCCCCAGGGGAUACCGGGGACUUAAGGCAACAGAGUGGAGCAGGAAAGACAAGGUCAGAUUUUUAGCAAGUAGAAUGAACUGCCUGGGACAGAAUGACAGAUUGAGGAACAGGGAGUUGUCAAGGAGCCUGCUCAAGGUUCUGGUUGGAUGAGAGCUGUGUGUGGUGGAUUUGUAAGUCAAUUUGGGGACUAUGGGGAGGAAGGAAUGGGUUUGAGUGAAGGUAGAAUGAUGGUAAACACUUGUAGAUUCUUUACCGUGUGCUGGAGUCUAUGCAAUACACAAUUCCGUGUUAUUUAAUCUCUGUAACAGGCUUCUGUUUGAGGUGGCUAUCAGUAAUGCCUUGUUUCAUAGUUGAGGAAGUGAGGCCCGAUUCUAUUAACAUGCCCAGAGCCACAUGAUUUCCUUCUGGGGCUGGUGGAGUUGGAGGUGCCCCUGGGGCACAUCAGUGAAGAUGUCUAGGAGGCAGUUGGGUAAACACCUGUGGAGCCUGGAGAGCUGGCUGAGAGCAAGCGGAGACCUGGGAGUCAUUAGGGCACAGCCAGGGGUGGGAGGAUCUAAAAUAGGGAAAGCAGGCGGGGAACAGAGGUCUGGAAGGGGGAAGAAGCUGGGAGAAGAAGCUGAGAAAGAAGAGACCAGGAGACCAGGUCAGCCCUGCCUCGUGCUGAAGAUAGCAGGUGGCAAGACACGGACUGGAAAGUACCUGACAGCAUCUAGGAUCCCAGGAGGGAACGCUGGCAGGAGUGGGUGUGGACAGAAGCCAGACUGACGUGCAUCCAAGAGGGGAAGGCAAAAGGAGAUAUUUCACGGACACUUGGCUGUGAAGGCAGGUUGUGACGGCAUCAAGAGAAAGCUGCAGGAUGAAGGAAGGCUCCUGGAGUCUCUCAGCUUGAGAUCCUGUGAGAUGACCAACCCAGGGCCCAUGGACCAAACCCAGGCAGAGCACUGGACAGGGAGCAAGACUCAGUGCGGACGGUGGCUGCCCAGUCAAGGACGUUGUCCAGGUACAGUCAUGUGAUUAGUUCUCAGCAGUGGAAUGUGAGCAGCAGUGAUGGGAAUCACCCAGGACUAUCAUUUUCUCUGCUUCGAUUGGAUGCUCACUUAGCGGGAGAUGAUUUUGCAGGUAAGUGGAAGUAACAGAGAGGAGGAAGGUGCUUCUUUUUGUUGAUUAAUUCUGAGCCCUCCAAGAGCCAGGGCGGACCAGGGGUAUCUGAGUUAUUGCUAUAGUCUGAAUAGUCAUGUCCCCUAAAAUUCAUAUGUUGAAGUCGUAAUCCUCGAGGUGGUGGUAUUAGAAGAUGGGGCUUGGGGACAUGAUUAGAUCAUAGAAAUUACUGCCUUUAUAAAAGAGGCCCCAGAGAGCUGCCUUGCCCCUUCUGCCACAUGAGGACCCAGCAAGAAGAUGGCUGCCUGUCAACCAGGAAACGGGUUCUCACCAGACACUGAAUCUGCCAGCACCUUGAUCUUGGACCUCCCAGCCUCUCCAUGUAUAAGAAAUAAGUUUCUACUGUUUAUGAGACACUCAAAAAAUUGUAUUUUGCUAUAGCAGCUUAAUCAGACUAAGGCAGCCAUGUUGGUGAUGCAAAUGACCUGCUUGACAUUUGUCAUAGAUAACCUAAGUUUGUCAUGUAUGACUUAAGUUAUAACUUCAGCUCCCCAAGGCCCAGAGCUAUCUGCAUCUAGUUUGCCAUGGUAUCCCUAAAACUCAGCUUUGGUAAACACUUCAUUAAUACGUAUUGUAUGAAGAAAUGAAGUUCUGGCCAUCUUCUCCUGAGCAUUUGCUUUCUUGUGACCCCCACAACGGAUUCUUUUAACAAGUGAAUCUUUGCUUAAACGAAGCCGGGCCAACAUCUUUCUCAACAAGAAACCAGGCCGAUGAAUGUGGGAGGGACACCACAGGAAAAGAGUCUCCCAUCUGUGUCUUCCAGUGCUGUGUUGGGCAAUGGGUAUCUGGGAAGUCUGCAAAAUGAGAUCCUUCCUUCCUUCCUUCCUUCCCCUGUACCUUGUCAAAGGAAUUCAGCAGCCUAAGGUCGAAGGCUCUUUUGCUUGAUUUGGGGAAGUCAUUUAAUUGUGCUAAGCCUCAGUCCCCUCGUUUGUAGAAUGAGGAUAUGACGAUACUGACUUCCAGCUGCUGUCAGGGUCGUCGCAAAGAGCAAAUGAGAGAAUGACGCGGACGUCAGCGUUUUGCAAACUACCGAACUCUACGACGAUCGGUGAUCUUAUGGAAACUUGGAGAGGCUUGCAUCAGACUUCAGCCUUGCUCAGUUUGAGGACAUGACUUCUCACAGGCAACCUCUCCAUUAUUCAGAGUAGAAUUAAUGCUCUCGGUCCCAUGAGAGGCUAUCUUCUUCCUGUAUUUCCUUCUAUUUUUGGCAUUCAACGUUCUCCUCGGCAUUGUUUGUAGGUGGGCAAAUCUUAACCGGGUUUCUGUUCCUCAAAUCAGUUACUUAAUUUGCACUAGGGGGAAGGGUGGCCCAAGCGGAUUUUAUUACCACCCAGCCUUUCAUAAAUCUUUGCAGAGAGAAGCUUUGGUUGGUUGUCACGAGCCCGGGAUGGAGCUGAGCCCCCACUUGGCAGCCUUGUGACCUUGAUUGGCUUUUGGAUAGACCAAGCCCUGCUGCAGCGGACCUCAUGGUCCAGCCGUCCUCGUGCUUGUGGGAAAGAGGGUCCUGUAAUCGCAUCCCUCGGGAUUCGUGUUUGCUCCACAGUUCGCAAAUGAGAGGCUCGCUGCUGCUCCAAGCAUCCCAGUGAGGCUGCGUGAGAACAGCUACUUGCACCAGCCGUCUGUGUUUGGGCUCCCAGUGAUGAAGAUGAAGCCACGGCCUUUGUGCAGGGCGGGUGGUGCCGUGGGGAGUGGGAGCCGGGGAAGAUGGCCAGGCUUGAAUGGAGACGUGUGACCUCUCGGGAAACCGGCUUGCCUCCCCCGGGGUUUUCCUGUUUAGUUCUGCAGAAGGCAAAGGAAACCCAUGGUUUGGGAAAAGUCCUGUUGAUAUAAAACCAACCAGUUUAUUUUUAUUUAUUUUUUAAGAGAUCUUAUUUAGGG